Molecule: long non-coding RNA, 423 nt
Filed under: Zonotrichia albicollis (white-throated sparrow)
Lineage: Eukaryota; Metazoa; Chordata; Aves; Passeriformes; Passerellidae
Description: lncRNA (ENSZALG00000017064.1)
Source: RNAcentral
UGAAAUCCAGGCCCUACAUAAGGCUGUGGAAGAGUUACUAUGGACUUCUAUGGGGUCAUCAUUUGACUCCAAAAGGAUAUGGAUGUUGUGGAAGAAUCCUGGCUGGAAAGCAAUGCCCCAUGGCACUGCCAAAGCUCAAUGUGCACCUGGGGGUCGAGAAAACAUCAAGGAAGGUUGGUCUCUGCUGUUUUCAAAUCAGCCAGGAAGAGCCCACUGUAUCUCCAGCUGAGAACUCAGAGUGGAGUUUUCAAGCAUCUUUUGCCACCUCUGUGGACUCUGCCCAAAAAGAUUGAUCCCUCAGAAAGUCUGAUGGUUUCGACUUCUAGACAAGUUAGCACUCUUGGAGAACACACUGUAACUUCUGUAUGGAUGAGAUUGACUGGGACUUAUGGAAUGGCAUCAUCUCUCUUAGCUCUAAACUGA